This 205-nucleotide non-coding RNA is filed under the name uncultured Clostridium sp. Its description in RNAcentral is "Lysine riboswitch". It matches the Rfam family "Lysine riboswitch aptamer". From Rfam's summary of the family: Riboswitches are metabolite binding domains within certain messenger RNAs that serve as precision sensors for their corresponding targets. Lineage: Bacteria; Bacillati; Bacillota; Clostridia; Eubacteriales; Clostridiaceae. The record is from RNAcentral.
GGGUGGAGGCGCUGUAAUUAAUAGUAUUUAUUUUUAGUUGGCAGACAUUUGAGAGAUAAAGAAAGGAAUUACAGCCGAAAAAUUAGUUUGGCGGAACUGAUUUUGGCUUUGUAUAAAAUAUAUAUAAAGCUGUCACUAAAAUAUGUAAUAAUUGGUGUAUUUUCAUUGAUGGAAUUGGGUAAGACUAUUUUAGUGGAGAGCUACA